RNAcentral lists this ribosomal RNA (497 nucleotides) under uncultured bacterium. RNAcentral's name for it is "bacterial SSU rRNA". It matches the Rfam family "Bacterial small subunit ribosomal RNA", at positions 21 to 507 of the family's 1533-position model. The record is from RNAcentral.
GGCUCAGGAUGAACGCUAGCUACAGGCUUAACACAUGCAAGUCGCGGGGCAGCAUGCGGUUGCUUGCAACCGAUGAUGGCGACCGGCGCACGGGUGAGUAACGCGUAUCCAACCUGCCCUUCACCACGGAAUAAUCCAGUGAAAAUUGGUCUAAUACCGUAUGAGGUCAUACGAUGGCAUCAGAAUAUGACGAAAGGUUUUGGCGGUGAAGGAUGGGGAUGCGUCUGAUUAGCUUGUUGGUGAGGUAACGGCUCACCAAGGCGACGAUCAGUAGGGGUUCUGAGAGGAAGGUCCCCCACAUUGGAACUGAGACACGGUCCAAACUCCUACGGGAGGCAGCAGUGAGGAAUAUUGGUCAAUGGGCGCAAGCCUGAACCAGCCAAGUAGCGUGAGGGAAGACUGCCCUACGGGUUGUAAACCUCUUUUGUUUGGGAAUAAAGUGCGGGACGCGUCCCGCAUUGCAUGUACCAUUUGAAUAAGGACCGGCUAAUUCCGUG